CCUACGGGCGGCAGCAGUGAGGAAUAUUGGUCAAUGGGCGGAAGCCUGAACCAGCCAAGUCGCGUGAGGGAGUAAGGCCCUACGGGUCGUAAACCUCUUUUGCCGGGGAGCAGUGCCCAGCUCGUGAGCUGGGAGGGAGCGUACCCGGAGAAAAAGCAUCGGCUAACUCCGUGCCAGCAGCCGCGGUAAUACGGAGGAUGCGAGCGUUAUCCGGAUUUAUUGGGUUUAAAGGGUGCGUAGGCGGUUAUACAAGUUAGAAGUGAAAUACCCAGGGCUUAACUCGGGUGCUGCUUCUAAAACUGUAAGACUUGAGUGCAGUAGAGGUUAGUGGAAUUCCUAGUGUAGCGGUGGAAUGCGUAGAUAUUAGGAGGAACACCAGAGGCGAAGGCGGCUAACUGGACUGCAACUGACGCUGAGGCACGAAAGUGUGGGGAGCAAACAGGAUUAGAUACCCCAGUAGUC
This 462-nucleotide ribosomal RNA is filed under the name uncultured bacterium. RNAcentral's name for it is "partial 16S ribosomal RNA". It matches the Rfam family "Bacterial small subunit ribosomal RNA", at positions 338 to 795 of the family's 1533-position model. The record is from RNAcentral.